This is a long non-coding RNA of Neogale vison (American mink), 317 nucleotides long. RefSeq lists it as uncharacterized. NCBI's taxonomy places the organism in Eukaryota, Metazoa, Chordata, Mammalia, Carnivora, Mustelidae. The record is from RefSeq and is a predicted model, not a curated record. The transcript has 3 exons.
UACCGGGUUUCGCCGGGAAGGGUGGAGGCCUAAGACUCGGGGCUGGCGUGGAUCCCCAGCUCUGCACCUUACGUCCUCUUUUUCUGUGCAAUGGGAACAGUGGUUCCUCCCUCACUGCAUCGUGGCGUUAGUUUAAACGGGCUUUCGAAGAUACUUAUCGAGCUCCUAGAUGCGCCGCCCUAGCGCUGAAGGCGGGAAUGGACUGAAAGGGGAAAGAGAAACGUCACCCAACAGUUUGUCUUCCUGGACACCUGCGCGGGACACUCUGAGGCUAAGGUUUUAUUUAUUUGUCGGAGAGCAAGAGAGCGGGCACGAAC